AUGAAGCUAUAUGCGGGCGGGUGCCGGCGAGAUGCGCGUCUGGAUUGUGGCGGCGGGACGACGACGGACCGCUUCAGGGAGGUGCCAGGUGUGAGGCUUCCCGACACGCAAAAUGCGACGGUGGACCUUGAUGUGGCUACGUUGGAGGAGUGCCGGGCCAGGUGCCUCGCCGACUGCUCGUGCUUGUCCUACGCCGCCGCCAACAUCCGAGGCGGUGGCAAUCGUAGCGGCUGCGUCAUGUGGGCGGAUGCCAUCGUUGAUCUUCGACUCAUUGUCAGCGAGCAGAGUCUCUACUUGAGGUUGUCCGAAUCAGAAUUUGAUGUAGCAGAUGGCCGUAAGAGGUUUCCUAUUGUACCGGUUGUUGUGGCACCUCUAGCUUCUGCAGCAGCUAUUCUUCUGGUCGUUUUUUUGAUUUGGUGGAGAUGGAGGAGCAGAAUCUUAGGCGCUAUUCCUCAAAAUCUAUCUAUGGGAGCCGUCCCUUCAGUUAAUCUAGCUAAUAUAAAACAUGUCACCAGAAAUUUCUCCGAAAGUAACAUCAUUGGUCAAGGUGGAUUUGGCGUUGUUUAUAAGGGCCAGCUCACUGGCGGAAGAAUGAUUGCUGUUAAGCGGCUUAAACAGUCGGCUCUCACCAGAAAAGGAAAGAAAGAUUUCGCUAGAGAAGUUGAAGUGAUGGCCGGGCUCCGGCACAACAAUCUCGUUCGUCUCCUCGCAUACUGCAAUGAAGGAAAAGAGAGGAUACUAGUUUACGAAUACAUGGAGAACAAGAGCUUGAACGUCUACAUAUUUGGCACACCUAGCCUUCGUACUUCAUUGAACUGGGCAAAGAGACUUCAAAUAAUCCAUGGUAUCGCGCAUGGUAUCUCGUACCUUCACGGUGGAUCAGGCGAGAGUGUAAUCCACAGGGAUCUCAAACCAGGCAAUGUUCUUCUAGACGAUGAAUGGAAGGCUAAGAUAGCAGACUUCGGCACUGCCAAGCUAUUCGCCAUUGAUCAAACAGGGCCUGAUCAGACAGUCAUUGUUUCACCGGGAUAUGCAGCGCCAGAGUAUGAGAGGCAAGGAGAGAUGACGCUAAAAUGUGAUGUCUAUAGCUUUGGAGUUAUCCUCUUGGAGACACUAAGUGGGCAAAGGAAUGGCAGCAUGCAGAGGCUACUUUUGAACGCUUGGGGUCUCUGGGAACAAAACAAGACUAUAGAACUUCUCGACACAGCAAUAUCAUUGCCACUUUCUGAGUCUGAGCCUGAGCUCUUGUCUGAGCUGAAACGAUGCAUCCAGAUUGGACUUCUUUCUGUCCAGGAUAUUCCCAGCGACAGGCCAACCAUGUCUACAAUUGUCGCCAUGCUAACAAGCACUGCUUCGCUGAUUAAUCGGCCGGGAAGGCCGACCAUGGAUAACACGGCUAUGCAUUCAUCCCAUGAGCUUGAAUCCAACCUCUCGAGCCCGAGUACAGAUGAUCUGACAUAA
Molecule: ribosomal RNA, 1461 nt
Filed under: Triticum aestivum (bread wheat)
Lineage: Eukaryota; Viridiplantae; Streptophyta; Magnoliopsida; Poales; Poaceae
Description: partial small subunit ribosomal RNA
Source: RNAcentral